This 205-nucleotide microRNA precursor is filed under the name Oryza sativa Japonica Group (Japanese rice). Its description in RNAcentral is "MIR812 microRNA precursor family". It matches the Rfam family "MIR812 microRNA precursor family". The record is from Rfam by way of RNAcentral. Lineage: Eukaryota; Viridiplantae; Streptophyta; Magnoliopsida; Poales; Poaceae.
AAAGACUCAAUUCCUGGGUUUUCGUGUCCUACGUUUGACUGUCCGUCUUAUAUGAAUUUUUUUCAUGAUUAGUAUUUUUAUUGUUGUUAGAUGAUAAAACAUGAAUAAUACUUUAUGUGUGAUUUAUCUUUUUAAAUUUUUUUAUUUUUUUUAAAUAAGACGGACGAUUAAACGUUAGACACGGAAACUCAAGAAUUGAGUUAUU